This 727-nucleotide ribosomal RNA is filed under the name Acinetobacter baumannii Naval-18. Its description in RNAcentral is "bacterial SSU rRNA". It matches the Rfam family "Bacterial small subunit ribosomal RNA", at positions 28 to 746 of the family's 1533-position model. Lineage: Bacteria; Pseudomonadati; Pseudomonadota; Gammaproteobacteria; Moraxellales; Moraxellaceae. The record is from RNAcentral.
AUUGAACGCUGGCGGCAGGCUUAACACAUGCAAGUCGAGCGGGGGAAGGUAGCUUGCUACCGGACCUAGCGGCGGACGGGUGAGUAAUGCUUAGGAAUCUGCCUAUUAGUGGGGGACAACAUCUCGAAAGGGAUGCUAAUACCGCAUACGUCCUACGGGAGAAAGCAGGGGAUCUUCGGACCUUGCGCUAAUAGAUGAGCCUAAGUCGGAUUAGCUAGUUGGUGGGGUAAAGGCCUACCAAGGCGACGAUCUGUAGCGGGUCUGAGAGGAUGAUCCGCCACACUGGGACUGAGACACGGCCCAGACUCCUACGGGAGGCAGCAGUGGGGAAUAUUGGACAAUGGGGGGAACCCUGAUCCAGCCAUGCCGCGUGUGUGAAGAAGGCCUUAUGGUUGUAAAGCACUUUAAGCGAGGAGGAGGCUACUUUAGUUAAUACCUAGAGAUAGUGGACGUUACUCGCAGAAUAAGCACCGGCUAACUCUGUGCCAGCAGCCGCGGUAAUACAGAGGGUGCGAGCGUUAAUCGGAUUUACUGGGCGUAAAGCGUGCGUAGGCGGCUUAUUAAGUCGGAUGUGAAAUCCCCCGAGCUUAACUUGGGAAUUGCAUUCGAUACUGGUGAGCUAGAGUAUGGGAGAGGAUGGGUAGAAUUCCAGGUGUAGCGGUGAAAUGCGUAGAGAUCUGGGAGGAAUACCGAUGGCGAAAGCAGCCAUCUGGCCUAAUACUGACGC